GCUGAUUGGUAGGUGGAGAGGGGUGCGCCAAGAUUUCCUCUCACCUGAUUGGUUGGAGCGGAAAGUCCCUCGCAUCUCCUCGGCCUCGGGGAGACCUUCAGCGCCCCAGAUUGCUGCGCUCGGGUCGGCGGAGGUGGUCUGCAUUCUGUUGGAUUCGAGCUUCGGCUGCACCGCGUAGGGGCCCGGCCGGGAACGCCUGGGCUCUCGUUGACGAAGCCUCGGGCCCUGGAGUUCACCAAAAGGGAGGAAGGAGUAGACAAGCCUUUAUCUCACUCAAGAGCAGAAGUAAAUGGUUGAUAUGAAAGUUGAAAAGAAGAGAGAGGGAGAGAGUACGUAGAAGGAGAGGGAGAAGCAGACUCUCUAUCAAGA
Long non-coding RNA from Canis lupus familiaris (dog), 369 nucleotides. RefSeq lists it as uncharacterized. NCBI's taxonomy places the organism in Eukaryota, Metazoa, Chordata, Mammalia, Carnivora, Canidae. The record is from RefSeq and is a predicted model, not a curated record. The transcript is spliced from 3 exons.